RNAcentral lists this ribosomal RNA (378 nucleotides) under uncultured bacterium. Its description in RNAcentral is "bacterial SSU rRNA". It matches the Rfam family "Bacterial small subunit ribosomal RNA", at positions 521 to 896 of the family's 1533-position model. The record is from RNAcentral.
UAAUACGUAGGGAGCGAGCGUUGUUCGGAUUUACUGGGCGUAAAGAGCACGUAGGCGGGUAUGCAAGUCGGUUGUGAAAUCCUCUGGCUCAACCAGAGAACUGCAAUCGAAACUGCAUACCUUGAGUCCAACAGAGGGAAUCGGAAUCCAAGGUGUAGCGGUGAAAUGCGUAGAUAUCUUGGAGAACAUCAGUGGCGAAGGCGGAUUCCUGGGUUGGUACUGACGCUGAGGUGCGAAAGCUAAGGUAGCGAACAGGAUUAGAUACCCUGGUAGUCUUAGCCGUAAACGAUGGGUACUAGGCGUUGGGGGACAUUGACCCCCUCAGUGCCGUAGCUAACGCAUUAAGUACCCCGCCUGGGGAGUACGGCCGCAAGGCUG